RNAcentral lists this long non-coding RNA (1103 nucleotides) under Salvia miltiorrhiza (redroot sage). RNAcentral describes it as "long non-coding RNA (SMIL_LNC001955)". The record is from RNAcentral. Lineage: Eukaryota; Viridiplantae; Streptophyta; Magnoliopsida; Lamiales; Lamiaceae.
AACGUAGAAUAGCAACAACUUGAUUAGCUAGGCUUUACAAACCAUCAAUUCAAUUCAAACAUAACACCACUUUGAAUACAGUAUAUCUCUUAUUAACCAACACAACUUUAAAUUACCUGGAUUCUAAACAUUUCCUCACACACAAUUACAUAACUAAGAAAAACAUUUUUUUGCAGAGAAAAGAGUACAAAGAGGAAGACUUGAGAAAUGCAGCAACGACACUGCAUCUCGAACGGGGAAGAAAUUUGACCUGCAACACGCAAAAAAAUGAAUAAAUAAACAAAUAAAUAAAAAGUAAAAUUAAAAAAUAAAUAAGGCGAUGUCAACCUUACAAUGAGCUGAGCUUCAUUAAAACCUUACCGAAGAACAUACCUUCCAGAAAACCAAUGCUCAACCUGGAAAUCGACAAUAAUAAUAAAGCUACUGAUGAAUAUAAAAACAUAAUAAUGAGUUUGAGAAUAUUUAUAAUAUGUCUAAUAUUUAUGAUAUGUCUUGAGAGCUUAUAAAUUGUCAAAGUAUUUGGAUAAUUAAGCUUAUAAUUGAGAAUUGUGAUACAUAGAAGGAUAAUAAUCAUAGACGAAAGCAAUGAAAUGAGAAAGAUAUAUAUUAAAAGUAACAAAACUUAGUAGAAUUAUUUUGUAAAUUAAUCGUUACUUAUAAGAUAAUGAAAAUAUAAGAUGGAGUUGGUGAACAUUUUUUUUUUUUGGGAGCUUAGAGGUUAUUUUACAUGUUAUAAGUUAUUCAUGAUUUUAUUAUGCCAAACACUUUUGGAAGAGGUUAAUUAUAAGCUUUUAACGAACAAAUACUAACUACCAAAAACAAAUUAAACAUAAAAAAAAAAACUAUAUAGUUCUGAUGCUAAAUGACAAACAGUUAACUCUAUGAACCAGCUUGGUAAUUACAAAUACGGUGAAAGGUAAUAUUAAAAACUAAUAUUGAAAAUGAGAGAGAAAUGAGAUACCUUUUCUGGGUGGGUGGAGACUAGACUAGUCUUGGAUGAUAAUUGAAUGGACAUGGCUGACUGUCACACCCCAAUUCUUGAACGAAUAAAAUAUAAUCGAGGUGCGACUAAAAUCAUAGAAAUAAAUAAGGAAAGAACCUUG